This 462-nucleotide ribosomal RNA is filed under the name uncultured bacterium. RNAcentral's name for it is "partial 16S ribosomal RNA". It matches the Rfam family "Bacterial small subunit ribosomal RNA", at positions 28 to 507 of the family's 1533-position model. The record is from RNAcentral.
GACGAACGCUGGCGGCGUGCUUAACACAUGCAAGUCGAGCGGAAAGGCCCUUCGGGGUACUCGAGCGGCGAACGGGUGAGUAACACGUGAGUAACCUGCCCCAGACUUUGGGAUAACCCUCGGAAACGGGGGCUAAUACCGGAUACGACACAGCUUCGCAUGGGGUCUGUGUGGAAAGUUUUUCGGUUUGGGAUGGGCUCGCGGCCUAUCAGCUUGUUGGUGGGGUGAUGGCCUACCAAGGCGACGACGGGUAGCCGGCCUGAGAGGGCGACCGGCCACACUGGGACUGAGACACGGCCCAGACUCCUACGGGAGGCAGCAGUGGGGAAUAUUGCACAAUGGGCGGAAGCCUGAUGCAGCGACGCCGCGUGGGGGAUGACGGCCUUCGGGUUGUAAACCUCUUUCCGCAGGGACGAAGCGUAAGUGACGGUACCUGCAGAAGAAGCGCCGGCCAACUACGUG